GUGGGGAAUUUUGGACAAUGGGCGCAAGCCUGAUCCAGCAAUGCCGCGUGCAGGAAGAAGGCCUUCGGGUUGUAAACUGCUUUUGUACGGAACGAAACGGUCCUGGUUAAUACCUGGGGCUAAUGACGGUACCGUAAGAAUAAGCACCGGCUAACUACGUGCCAGCAGCCGCGGUAAUACGUAGGGUGCGAGCGUUAAUCGGAAUUACUGGGCGUAAAGCGUGCGCAGGCGGUGCUGUAAGACAGGCGUGAAAUCCCCGGGCUCAACCUGGGAAUUGCGCUUGUGACUGCAGGGCUGGAGUACGGCAGAGGGGGAUGGAAUUCCGCGUGUAGCAGUGAAAUGCGUAGAUAUGCGGAGGAACACCGAUGGCGAAGGCAGUCCCCUGGGCCUGUACUGACGCUCAUGCACGAAAGCGUGGGGAGCAAACAGGAUUAGAUACCCGAGUAGUCC
Molecule: ribosomal RNA, 450 nt
Filed under: uncultured bacterium
Lineage: Bacteria
Description: partial 16S ribosomal RNA
Rfam family: Bacterial small subunit ribosomal RNA
Source: RNAcentral